GGAUCAGUACGUUGGUCGUGCCUUGGUACGUACUGGUGUAACUGAUUCCUCCCUUCUGACGAACCGUCAUGCCAUUCACUUGGUGUGGCGGGAAAUCAGGACUGUUACUUUGAAAAAAUUAGAGUGUUUAAAACAGGCUUAUGCUUGAAUACAUUAGCAUGGAAUAACGGAAUAGGACUU
Molecule: ribosomal RNA, 180 nt
Filed under: uncultured Glomeromycotina
Lineage: Eukaryota; Fungi; Glomeromycota
Description: partial small subunit ribosomal RNA
Source: RNAcentral